GACGAACGCUGGCGGCGUGCUUAACACAUGCAAGUCGAACGGAAAGGCCCUGCUUUUGUGGGGUGCUCGAGUGGCGAACGGGUGAGUAACACGUGAGUAACCUGUCCCUGACUGACGGAGAACAUCAGGAAACUGGGGCUAUUACAGGAUAGGAUCUCUUGCUGCAUGGUGGGGGUUGGAAAGUUUCGGCGGUUGGGGAUGGACUCGCGGCAUCUCAGCUUGAUGGUGGGGUAGUGGAUUACCAAGUUUUUGACGGGUAGGCGGCCUGAGAGGAGGGCCGGACACAUUAGGACUGAGAUAGGGCCCAGACGGCAAUCGUACGCAACGGUGGAGAAUGUUACACAAUAGACGGGAGCAUGAUGCGACAACGCAACGUUCGGGAUGACGGGUUUCUGGUUGUAAACCAAUGUCUCAUGAGCCGUGACGUGAGUGACGGUAAUGGGUAAAGAAGCACCGGCUAACUACGUG
Molecule: ribosomal RNA, 468 nt
Filed under: uncultured bacterium
Lineage: Bacteria
Description: partial 16S ribosomal RNA
Rfam family: Bacterial small subunit ribosomal RNA
Source: RNAcentral